AGUGGCGCACGGGUGAGUAACGCGUGGGUAACCUACCCUCAGGUGGGGGAUAACUUCGCGAAAGCGGGGCUAAUACCGAAUAACAUAUCGAUUUCCUCGGGAGUUGGUAUCAAAGGUGGCCUCUGCAUGCAAGCUACUGCCUAAGGAUGGGCCCGCGUACCAUUAGCUAGUUGGCAGGGUAAUAGCCUACCAAGGCAACGAUGGUUAGCUGGUCUGAGAGGAUGGCCAGCCACACUGGAACUGAGACACGGUCCAGACUCCUACGGGAGGCAGCAGUGGGGAAUCUUGCGCAAUGGGGGAAACCCUGACGCAGCAACGCCGCGUGGGUGAUGAAGGCCUUCGGGUCGUAAAGCCCUGUCAGGUGGGAAGAACCAUAUCGAUUCGAAUAGGGUCGGUAUCUGACGGUACCACCGGAGGAAGCACCGGCUAACUCCGUGCCAGCAGCCGCGGUAAUACGGAAGGUGCAAGCGUUGUUCGGAAU
This 481-nucleotide ribosomal RNA is filed under the name uncultured delta proteobacterium. RNAcentral's name for it is "bacterial SSU rRNA". It matches the Rfam family "Bacterial small subunit ribosomal RNA", at positions 94 to 551 of the family's 1533-position model. Lineage: Bacteria; Deltaproteobacteria. The record is from RNAcentral.